CCCAGAGCGAAGCCUUCCCACUGCGCAGGCGCGGGGCCCUCACGCUAGCGGAGCGCCUGCACGGACCACGUUCCGGAAAUAAGGCGGCUCGCCAAUCAGGAGGGUUCUUCGAACCGGAAGUUGAUGUGGUUGCCUUGGGGACUGGGCUUCCUGGACCAGGUGAGGAGUCUCGAUUAGGUGAACCGUGCGAGUUUCGUGGCCCAGGGACUGUAAGCCAAAGAUGGAAAGAGCUGUAACCCUCGCCCAAGACUAUUCAAAGGGUAAGAAGUCACAAAAUGUUUGAAGAAAACCGGCCUGGAACUGCAAGAUGGCAAUUUCCACAGGCUCCUGGGUCACCUGGAAACUCGAAGGAGUCUGAUACCUUGGAUAUUUUGUAAAAGAGACAGAGGUGACUAACCCUAGGAAGUGCCUAGGAUUUGAGAUGCUUGAUGUGGUAAGACAAAGCCAUGGAAGAUGAUGUGGGACGGCGCCCUAGCACGCCGCGUGGAUUUGACCAGUGCACAUCUACUAGCGUGUCCCAGGAGACACUGAAAAAAAUCAGAAACAGAAAGAAAAGCAGAUGGAUCCAUCAAGUUGCUCCUCUUGUCUGGACUGGUGGUGCAUGGCUGUGAUCAUAGCCCUUGGGAAGUAGAGGCAAGAUCAGUAAGGCAGGGCCAGCCUUAGCUACAAUACUGAGUAUGAGGCCAACCUGGGCAACAAGAGACCCUGUCUGAAAAGAAAGCUAUAUAUCCCAGGCUGGCCUCAAGUGACUCUGUAGGCUGUGGUGGGUUAGAUGCCUCCUGCCUUGGCCUUCCACGUUCUGAGAUUAUAAGCACGAGCCACACCACACUUGGCCAAAAACUCCUUUUCUCAGAGGGCUACAGGAGACUUCUUAGUCUAGGGUUCGAGUUUACUGGUAGAGUGCUUCUCUGGUGUGUACAAGGACCUGGAUUCCAGCCCCAAGGUGGAAAACAGGAGACCGGCCUGUUUAUCUGCCUACUCAGGUCACCUGUCCCCUUCCAACAAGCUGCUGUGUCCUGCCAUCACACUCUAUACUCUAUACUCUUGGUGACAGUGAUCAUCCAAUGUAUCCCAGCAGCCAUACAGUGACUGGCAAGUCUGUCACUCAAGUUAUCGAUACACAAGUGACCAUAUAAAGGGCUAAGGUGUUCCCAAGAACGAGAACUAUACCUGGAGCUAGAGCUGGAGCUAGAGGUGUUUGGCACAUUACAGGGGCUGAACUAGCAGUGACGGGGUUAAGCACACAUUAGAGGUCAGAUUAUAUAUGGCAACUGUGACAAAACAAAGAAUAGCUUAGUAAAUCGGCCUGGGCUUUGGAGCCACACAAGUCAAAAUGUCAGGGCUGGCAAGAUGGCUCAGUGUGUAAGGGGUUUGCUACACAGUCCUAAUGGCUUCACUUUGAUCCCCAGAACCCACAGUGAGAACCCAAGAAGAGGACUGGCUCUCACAAGUUGACCUCUGACUUCCACACACACUGAGGUGCACUUACACAGGCAUGCUGUACAAACACACAAUAAUUUAAAGGACUGGCCAGAUGCCUCAGCAGCUCAGGGUGGUUGCCCUCGAGCCUGAAGACCUGAGUUUGAUUCCCAGAACCUCCAUAGAGGAAGGAGAGAGCAGACUCUUGUUAUCUUUCCUGUGAUCGCCACACUUGCACAGGCCCUGGAGGGGCAGAACUAGAAGGCACUAUGUCCUCCUUCGGGGUCACUAAAUGAUUCUCAUACCGCAGUCCAGAGAAAUGCACUUCGUACUCAAGAUAAGAAUGGCGAUAUCAACUUACUGGUUGUGUUUAAAACAAUAAAACCUUGAUCAUUACUCAUAAA
This is a long non-coding RNA of Apodemus sylvaticus (European woodmouse), 1823 nucleotides long. RefSeq lists it as uncharacterized. The record is from RefSeq and is a predicted model, not a curated record. NCBI's taxonomy places the organism in Eukaryota, Metazoa, Chordata, Mammalia, Rodentia, Muridae. The transcript is spliced from 3 exons.